RNAcentral lists this unclassified non-coding RNA (145 nucleotides) under uncultured Sordariomycetes. RNAcentral describes it as "sequence contains ITS2". Lineage: Eukaryota; Fungi; Ascomycota; Sordariomycetes. The record is from RNAcentral.
CAACCCUCAAGCCCCGGCUUGGUGUUGGGGCUCUGCGCCACGCAGUCCCUUAAAUUCAGUGGCGGACACGCUAGGUCUCCGAGCGCAGUAGUUUCUUCUCGCUUCGGGCGUCCGGCGUGGGCUUGCCUCGCACACCACUUCUCAA